Molecule: long non-coding RNA, 1297 nt
Organism: Leopardus geoffroyi (Geoffroy's cat)
Lineage: Eukaryota; Metazoa; Chordata; Mammalia; Carnivora; Felidae
Exons: 4
Source: RefSeq, a predicted model, not a curated record
CUCACAUUCACACACUGAGGCCCAGAAGCCUCAGGCCACACUCUGCCACUGCUGUCUAGGAUAUUAAGGGGGGUGUGACGGGGUGUGUGUAGAGAUCAGUCCUGAUCCUUGCCGUCCUGGAGCCUGGAGCCUGGUGGCAGAGAGAAAACGUGACUCUCUGUUUCAGUCACUCUGUGAUUGGUGCUCUGAAGGAAAGAAGUCAAACAGGAGCUUGUUGAGGUGACCGGGAUGGCCCAGAGGAUGAGAAGAAGCCAGCCGUGUGCACAGUGGUGGGGAGACUGAGCUGGGCAGCGUUCCUGGGGCAGGAGCCCAAUGGCCAGAGCGGCUGAUGCGCAGUGAGGGGGGAGGGACGGCGCAACGAUCAAGGAGGGAGAGGCCCACCUGCAGCGCCACCCCCCUGGCCCCCUGGCUCGCCCAGUGCCUUCUCUGUUGGCACGGCCCUGCCACCCCCGAGAUUUAUCGGGUAUCCUUCUCCAGCUUGAGAGCACAAGAUCUGGGUCCGAGUCAUUUCCAGGUCCCCAACCAGGAAGACGGGGUCCGGCCUUGAAUCAGACCACAACUGACCAAUGAACAGAGUUGGGCUGCGUGGAGACACCUGCUCGCAGGAGACUGGUGGAGAAACGUCCCUGCCACCAGCAUCCAGCCUUCCAGGUGUGCGGGGAAGUGUGUAAUUGACGGGCAGCCCGACCGAGGCCCUCCUGCGGGACCAAAUUGUAAUGGGCUGCGGCGCUUGGUCACAACAGGGAUUCCUUUUAUAUCUUAGUGCGGCCGCGAACCUGGCAAGCAGGUCCCCGCGGUUAUUAAGAAGCCUCCUGACUUCAGCAAGUCGCCUUGGGUCAGUGCAGCGGCAUAUUCUGGCUGCUGGGCUCGGAGUUGGCAAAGACAACCUUGUAGACACAAAUCCCUUUACACUUGGACAUGGAGAAAAGAAUCAAGAUGGAUGGCCCCAGCCCCCCCAGCCUGCUGCACACCUGCCUGCCCCCGCUCCCACUGCCUCGCCUCCUCCCUCCUGGCUGGUUCCUUGACAAGUUCAUUGCUGUGUUCACCGGAAAGCGAUCAGCAGAGUCUUGCUUCUGGAGAAGUUAAAUGCAGGCCGACAAUUCCUCAGGGGUUCACGGGAUGAAAGGCUGCAAAAGAGGGUUUGGAAGCACUUCACAGAGGGACCCACGUCUACACAUACGUCAAGAGAACUGUUGUUUGGGGAAAACAAGUUGUAUUGGAGGCUUUGGGAAUUGCAGAGAGGUUUCGCAAGAACUCAGAGGAGCAAAUAAGAAAUAAAAGACGCAGCCAACGUUUA